AAUAGAUACCCCGGUAGUCCACGCCGUAAACGAUGAGUGCUAAGUGUUGGGGGGGUUUCCGCCCCUCAGUGCUGCAGCUAACGCAUUAAGCACUCCGCCUGGGGAGUACGGUCGCAAGACUGAAACUCAAAGGAAUUGACGGGGGCCCGCACAAGCGGUGGAGCAUGUGGUUUAAUUCGAAGCAACGCGAAGAACCUUACCAGGUCUUGACAUCCCGGUGACCACUAUGGAGACAUAGUUUCCCCUUCGGGGGCAACGGUGACAGGUGGUGCAUGGUUGUCGUCAGCUCGUGUCGUGAGAUGUUGGGUUAAGUCCCGCAACGAGCGCAACCCUUAUUCUUAGUUGCCAUCAUUCAGUUGGGCACUCUAAGGAGACUGCCGGUGAUAAACCGGAGGAAGGUGGGGAUGACGUCAAAUCAUCAUGCCCCUUAUGACCUGGGCUACACACGUGCUACAAUGGACGGUACAAACGGUUGCCAACCCGCGAGGGGGAGCUAAUCCGAUAAAACCGUUCUCAGUUCGGAUUGUAGGCUGCAACUCGCCUACA
This 546-nucleotide ribosomal RNA is filed under the name uncultured bacterium. RNAcentral's name for it is "bacterial SSU rRNA". It matches the Rfam family "Bacterial small subunit ribosomal RNA", at positions 777 to 1320 of the family's 1533-position model. The record is from RNAcentral.